CUUAGUGGUGAUGACGCAGAGGAAACACCCGUACCCAUACCGAACACGGCAGUUAAGCUCUGUAGUGCCGAAAAUACUUGGUGGGCGACCGCCCGGGAACAUAGGAAACCGCUAAGA
Molecule: ribosomal RNA, 117 nt
Filed under: Oscillospiraceae bacterium
Lineage: Bacteria; Bacillati; Bacillota; Clostridia; Eubacteriales; Oscillospiraceae
Source: RNAcentral